Molecule: long non-coding RNA, 953 nt
Organism: Acanthopagrus latus (yellowfin seabream)
Lineage: Eukaryota; Metazoa; Chordata; Actinopteri; Spariformes; Sparidae
Exons: 2
Source: RefSeq, a predicted model, not a curated record
AUGAGAAAAAGGGGAUGUUGCAUCUUUGUUGAUCUUUGUGCUAUCACCCUUUCAUUUUACUCAACAAAGAUACAAAAUGCUGCCGCACAUUGCCACAUAUCUGAUGCCGGAUGAUGCAGCAAACACAAAACUGCAUCCCCAAGAGUGCAAACUACAUUCUUGCAUGGCUUUAUCACCUAGUUAUGGAGUUACGGUGUUAAAACCAGACUGUAGUUACAAGUUGCUUGCAGUCAAAUGAUUUCCAAAGACCCUUUUAAGGAAAAACUAUGAGCCUCCAUGAGUCUCCUGUGUGCAGUAGCAGGCCAAAUGAAGCAUGUCUGACCUUGGGGACAUGGAAGCAGGGAGUCUGUGGUCGUUUCCCUGUAGUCUGACCCCGGCCAUCCCCUCUUAACCUUCCUCCAGUCUCUGACUCAUUUCCUUUCAUCCAAUCGGAAAGGGAGUCAAAGUGAUACACCAGAGACAUCUGAGAGCCAGGGAAGCUGUGAAGCAUUGUCCAGAAUCCAACCAUCAGACCACAGAUGACACGGCUUAAAAAAUCUCAUCCAUAUAAACUUGAUGUUUAGGUCAUCGUUUUUCAUCUGACCUCAUUUGAAGGUUUCGAUUUUCUCUGAGAAUUAAAACCAAGAGCGAGUGUGUCUGCACAUAAGCAAGUGUUGCGGAUGUCGUCCCUGUUGACUUUUAACUCCAUGGAGACAACGCCGAUAGCUUCCAUCGAGUGAUGCAUGUAGUAAUGAUAAAUGUGUUGACGAAGCCAAGCUCCUCAGUUCUUAGGACAUGAUGUAAUUACUUCCUGAUCACUGAUGCAGUUGGAAAGUUGUGGUGUAAUUUUAUGUAUUUAGAAAUGAAGGGUCGAUUAUGCAUAACAGCACGGGAAUACAUGACUGAUGACAAUGUGUUUCGCAUUAUUGUUUUCCAAAAAAGAAAAUAGCCAGCAGGCUAAUUGAGAAACCUGA